Molecule: ribosomal RNA, 705 nt
Filed under: uncultured bacterium
Lineage: Bacteria
Description: bacterial SSU rRNA
Rfam family: Bacterial small subunit ribosomal RNA
Source: RNAcentral
ACGGGCGAGUAACACGUGAGUAACCUGUCCUUUUCUUUGGGAUAACGGCUGGAAACGGCUGCUAAUACCGGAUAUUCAGGCGUGACCGCAUGGUUGUGUUUGGAAAGGUUUUUUCUGGAAUGGGGUGGGCUCGCGGCCUAUCAGCUUGUUGGUGGGGUGAUGGCUUACCAAGGCUUUGACGGGUAGCCGGCCUGAGAGGGUGGUCGGUCGCACUGGGACUGAGAUACGGCCCAGACUCCUACGGGAGGCAGCAGUGGGGAAUAUUGCACAAUGGACGAAAGUUUGAUGCAGCGACGCCGCGUGGAGGGUGUAGGCCUUCGGGUUGUGAACUCCUUUUUCUAGCGAAAAAGGCACGGUUUUGGCCGUGUUGAUGGUAGUUGGGGAAGAAGCGCCGGCUAACUACGUGCCAGCAGCCGCGGUAAUACGUAGGGCGCGAGCGUUGUCCGGAUUUAUUGGGCGUAAAGAGCUCGUAGGUGGUUCGUCGCGUCUGUCGUGAAAGCCAGCAGCUUAACUGUUGGUCUGCGGUGGGUACGGGCGGGCUUGAGUGCGGUAGGGGAGAUUGGAAUUCCUGGUGUAGCGGUGGAAUGCGCAGAUAUCAGGAGGAACACCGAUGGCGAAAGGCAGGUCUCUGGGCCGUUACUGACGCUGAGGAGCGAAAGCGUGGGAGCGAACAGGAUUAGAUACCCUGUAGUCCACGCUGUAAAU